RNAcentral lists this ribosomal RNA (447 nucleotides) under uncultured bacterium. Its description in RNAcentral is "partial 16S ribosomal RNA". It matches the Rfam family "Bacterial small subunit ribosomal RNA", at positions 29 to 507 of the family's 1533-position model. The record is from RNAcentral.
AACGAACGCUAUCGGUAUGCUUAACACAUGCAAGUCGGACGGACUAAUUAGGGCUUGCUCCAGUUCGUUAGUGGCAGACGGGUGAGUAACACGUGGGAAUCUGCCCAUCAGUACGGAAUAACUUUUAGAAAUAAAAGCUAAUAACGUAUAUUCUCUACAGAGGAAAGAUUUAUCGCUGAUGGAUGAGCCCGCGUCAGAUUAGGUAGUUGGUGAGGUAACGGCUCACCAAGCCGACGAUCUGUAGCUGGUCUGAGAGGAUGAUCAGCCACACUGGGACUGAGACACGGCCCAGACUCCUACGGGAGGCAGCAGUGGGGAAUAUUGGACAAUGGGCGAAAGCCUGAUCCAGCAAUACCGAGUGAGUGAUAAAGGCCCUAGGGUUGUAAAGCUCUUUUAGCAAGGAAGAUAAUGACGUUACUUGCAGAAAAAGCCCCGGCUAACUCCGUG